This 1536-nucleotide ribosomal RNA is filed under the name Cthylla microfasciculumque. Its description in RNAcentral is "SSU rRNA". It matches the Rfam family "Eukaryotic small subunit ribosomal RNA". The record is from RNAcentral. Lineage: Eukaryota; Parabasalia; Honigbergiellida; Cthulhuidae.
ACUGUGGAAUUCGCCCUUCUUCGGUCAUAGAUUAAGCCAUGCAAGUGUUAGUUCAGGUUCAGUCUGAAACUGCGAACAGCUCAUUAACACACUCAGUAUCUAUUUGAUGGCGGAUAUAAGUCUUUACAUGGAUAGCAGGAGAAAACUCGUGCUAAUACAUGCGAUUGUUUCGCCGGAAAUGAAAUACGGUGGAGAAGUUGACUUUAAGAGUACAUCAUUCGAUUGAGUGACCUAUCAGCCAGUACUUAGGGUCUUUACCUAGGUAAGCAAUCACGGGUAACGGGCGGUUGCCGUCGUACUGCCGGAGAAGGCGCCUGAGAGAUAGCGACUAUACCUAUGGGUAGCAGCAGGCGCGAAACUUCCCCAAUCUUCAAAGAAGGAGGGGGUAAUGACCAGUUUCAUUUUACCUUCGGGUAGUUUGAAUAGGGGUUCAGUUUAUAACUGGGCCGCAACCUAGCAGAGGGCCAGUCUGGUGCCAGCAGCUGCGGUAAUUCCAGCUCUGCGAGUUUGCUCCCAUAUUGUUGCAGUUAAAACGCCCGUAGUCGGAGUUUGGCGUAUGCCAAUAUGAAAAACGAAAAACGUUCACUGUGAACAAAUCAGGACGCUCAGGGUAUGGUUGCAUGUAUGACCUAGCGCAGUAUGAUAUUUUUGCCUUUUUGGCAAGAUCAAGGAGAGCCAUCGGGGGUAGAUCUAUUCCACGGCGAGCGGUGGAAUGCUUUGACCCAUGUGGAGAGAGACGAAAGCGAAGGCAUCUACCUAGAGGGUUUCUGUCGAUCAAGGGCGAGAGUAGGAGUAUCCAACCGGAUCAGAGACCCGGGUAGUUCCUACUGUAAACAAUGCCGACAGGGGAUUGUCUCUUUUUAGAGGCAGGACNUUAGGAGAAAUCAUAGUUCAUGGGCUCUGGGGGAACUACGACCGCAAGGCUGAAACUUGAAGGAAUUGACGGAAGGGCACACCAGGGGUGGAGCCUGUGGCUUAAUUUGAAUCAACACGGGGAAACUUACCAGGACCAGAUGUUGGUAUGACUGACUUUCUAAAGGGAAUUCGGGAUUUGACUUGUGGUGGUGCAUGGCCGUUGGUGGUGCGUGGGUUGACCUGUCUAGCGUUGAUUCAGAUAACGAGCGAGAUUAUCGCCAAUUACUAAGACCAAGCUGUCUAACUGUCAGUUUGAGUUUUUUAAUUGGGACUCCCUGCGUCUAGCAGGCGGAAGAGGGUAGCAAUAACAGGUCCGUGAUGUCCUUUAGAUGCUCUGGGCUGCACGCGUGCUACAAUGUGAGUAUCAAACAGUUUUGAAACCGAAAGGCUGAAAAACUCUGUCAAACACUCACGUAGUUGGGAUCGACGGUUGUAAUCACCGUCGUGAACCAGGAAUCCCUUGUAAAUGUGUGUCAACAGCGCACGUUGAAUACGUCCCCGCCCUUUGUACACACCGCCCGUCGCUCCUACCGAUUGGAUGACUCGGUGAAAUUACUGGACUCUUACGAGGGGAAGGUAAUUUAAUCACGUUAUCUAGAGGAAGGAGAAGUCGUAACAAGG